This 2006-nucleotide long non-coding RNA is filed under the name Nicotiana tabacum (common tobacco). RNAcentral's name for it is "long non-coding RNA (NTAB_LNC003860)". The record is from RNAcentral. Lineage: Eukaryota; Viridiplantae; Streptophyta; Magnoliopsida; Solanales; Solanaceae.
UCCCUCACUCCUCUCAUAGACCACCCCAAGAAACCCUAACCCGUUGUCUCCUUUUCCACCGGUUGUCGCCGGCGGCGCCGAUCCCAAACCACUCCAAAUUGACACCACAGAACCACCAUGACACCCUUGUAUCAAAUCCCCACUCAGUUUCCCUCGAAUCUUGCUAGAGCGUCUCGAAUCUUAAAUCUAAGGUUCGAGCCCCAGAAGUCAAAGCCAAAUCUGCACAUGCAAGGGUGUUUCUCCAGUUUUCAUGAGUGUUCAAGGCCGGUUUUACCAUGAAAUAACGUUAUUCGACAAAGAACAAGCAGUUGACAUUAUUUGGGGGGUUAAAUCAAAAUAUCAGUCCCGAGUUCAAGCUUUGGUAGGUGAGUUUUUCCUUUAUUAUUCGUUUCUGGCAUUAUUUCAGUUUCGUUCCUCUUCAUCUUUCCCUCUUCUUCUUUGGUCUAUUCAACUGAAACUUGACCAAACUUUCUGGGCGAGAAUAAAUAAUGUUCUUUUGUUCCCUUCCAGUUUUAUUUUUCAAAAUCUUGUCCCCUGAUUUUUCUUGGUAUGUUUAGUCUUUCUUGGUAACAGCAUGACUGAAGUUCUGAUUUUGUCUCUCGUUUAGUCGCUUAGUUAAUUUAAUUAGGUUUAUUUUGAUAACUUAGUCAAUUUCCUGCUUACUUGUGUUUAAUAAUCAUUCAAUUAGUGUAAGUUUGGUUUCAAAAUCAUUUAAGUGUCUGCCCUCAGUUUGUUGACUGAUUCGAUUUGGCUCAUUUUGUUAUUUGGGCUUUGAAGCCAAAUCAGAAUUCCCCAAGGGUUGAUUUAGGCCAUUGGGUCAGCAUUGAGCCCACGUUUGGCUUAACUACUGAGUCAAUUCAACCCAUGACCUAUAUCUGUCUGAUUUCAUGGGUAAUAACAUUGUGCUUAAGGGGUAAAAUAGGAAUUGUAGGUAAGGGAAUCAUUUGUAACAGCCUAAGAAAACUUCUAGGAAGCUGGGGUGGGGGCUAAUUUGAAAAUCUGAUUUUUAGACUAAGGUUUCCUGAGCAAAAAUGAAAAUGUAAAAAGGGUCUAAUUGCAAAUCUGAUUUUCUGUAAGCUACCCUACUUCCUUGUCUAUAAAGGCAUGGUUUUCUUGCCUUUCAAGGCCGACCCAAGAGAAAUGAAGAGAUAAAAAAAUCUGAAAAAUCAGAAACAGCUGAGUUAAGAAAUACUUGAAGAUUUUGGCAUUUUGGGUAAAAAUUGGUUUAAUCCUGCAGUUUAAUCCUUCAAUUUUGAAACCUUCAAAGUGGUUGAUUUAUUCUUGAUUUAAAAGAUGAUUUGAGGGUUGCUUGACUCUUGUUCCAUUGCUGAAUUUCUGGGCUGAUCCUGCUGUUCAUUUCCUCUUGUUGAAUCUCUGCUGUUGUUUCUUCUUAGCCUCUAACUAAGUUUGCUGGUCUAUAUUGUUGUAUUCAGGUACAUGUUCUUUAAUUCUACCUAAUGUAAAGCCUGAUUCGAGUUUGAUAUGGAAAUCUGGAGCUUUGGAGCAUAGCGUCAACCUAUUCCUUUUGAUGUAGUUUAGUUUCAUUCUUAUUUUAAAUCAUGAGUUAUAUGGUGCAUGUUUUUUGCUGGUUGGUGACAGUAUACCUUAAGGGUCGAACUCGGAUUGGAAUUAGCAAGAGACUCAAUUUUCUGUUAAAUGUUUCAUAAUUAAAUGUUGGUGUUGUAUAACUGAACCUUUAUCAUGGUGUUUGAUUUGAGCCAUCAUGAAAGCUUGAUUAACAGUCUGCCUAGAUAAGUCAAUAGUUGAAUUUUUGCAUUCAACCACGAUUAGUAGCUUGCUUAGUCAGAUCUUGGACUCUUUUGCUUUGAGUCUUGGUCGAAGUUGUUGUCAGCAUGUUUAUAAGGCAUACGUAACUCUUUACCACAUGGAGGUUUCCUAAAGUUAACAACAUGUUUGAAUCUAUGAUCUCGUAGGUUUUUUGCUUGGGAUUUUAAGUUAUUAAACAUGUUACUUAAGAUUAUGCUGGUGUAAUGUCAAUUUCCCAG